AUAUCAGUCAUGCAUAGCAUAUCAAUAAGCGGAGGAAAAGAAACUAACAAGGAUUCCCUUAGUAACGGCGAGUGAAGCGGGAAGAGCUCAAAUUUGAAAUCUUCAAGGUUUUACCUUGACGAAUUGUAGUUUAAAGAAGUGUUUUCUGUUGAAGUUUUGGUAAAAGUUCUUUGGAAUAGGACAUCAUAGAGGGUGAGAAUCCCGUAUUUGACCAUUACUUUCAGCUUUGUGAUACACUUUCAAAGAGUCGGAUUGUUUGGGAAUGCAGUCCAAAAUGGGUGGUAAAUUUCAUCUAAAGCUAAAUAUUGGCGAGAGACCGAUAGCGAACAAGUACCGUGAGGGAAAGAUGAAAAGAACUUUGAAAAGAGAGUUAAACAGUACGUGAAAUUGUCAAAAGGGAAGCGUUUGACACCAGUGUUGUUUUCUCGAAAAUCAAUUAAAAAGAGUUGGAUUUUGUGUUGUAUUGACUUUAUCAGGCUUUCUUCACUCUUUUCCAGCUUUUCUUAAUGCACUUUUCGUUUAACAAGUCAACAUCAGUUUCUUUUGUUGUAAAAAGGUCAUUGGAAGGUGGCUUUCUCUUCGGAGAAAGUGUUUAUAGCCUUUGACUCAUGCAAUCGGAGAGACUGAGGUCUGCAGCGUAGAUCCUUCGGGGUUAGAUACAUUUGUGCUAAGUUAUAGCUUUUCAUAGACAACUUGUUGACUAUGUUUAGUCUUGUAGCUUACUCGCUUAUGCUAUUUUACCUACGCUUAGGAUGUUGAACUCUAUCACACACAG
This 775-nucleotide ribosomal RNA is filed under the name uncultured Neocallimastigales. RNAcentral describes it as "partial large subunit ribosomal RNA". It matches the Rfam family "Eukaryotic large subunit ribosomal RNA", at positions 22 to 621 of the family's 3401-position model. Lineage: Eukaryota; Fungi; Neocallimastigomycota; Neocallimastigomycetes; Neocallimastigales. The record is from RNAcentral.